AUACGUAGGGGGCGAGCGUUGUCCGGAAUGGUUGGGCGUAAAGGGCGCGUAGGCGGCCCGGUAAGUCUGGAGUGAAAGUCCUGUUUUUAAGAUGGGAAUUGCUUUGGAUACUGUCGGGCUUGAGUGCAGGAGAGGUAAGUGGAACUCCCAGUGUAGCGGUGAAAUGCGUAGAGAUUGGGAGGAACACCAGUGGCGAAGGCGACUUACUGGACUGUAACUGACGCUGAGGCGCGAAAGUGUGGGGAGCAAACAGGAUUAGAUACCCUGGUAGUCCACACUGUAAACGAUGAAUGCUAGGUGUAGGGGGUAUCGACCCCUUCUGUGCCGCAGUCAACACAAUAAGCAUUCCGCCUGGGGAGUACGGCCGCAAGGUUGAAACUCAAAUGAAUUGACGGGG
RNAcentral lists this ribosomal RNA (397 nucleotides) under uncultured bacterium. Its description in RNAcentral is "partial 16S ribosomal RNA". It matches the Rfam family "Bacterial small subunit ribosomal RNA", at positions 523 to 918 of the family's 1533-position model. The record is from RNAcentral.